CCUACGGGAGGCAGCAGUGGGGAAUUUUGGACAAUGGGCGCAAGCCUGAUCCAGCAAUGCCGCGUGAGUGAAGAAGGCCUUCGGGUUGUAAAGCUCUUUUGUCAGGGAAGAAACGGUGGAGGCUAAUAUCCUUUGCUAAUGACGGUACCUGAAGAAUAAGCACCGGCUAACUACGUGCCAGCAGCCGCGGUAAUACGUAGGGUGCAAGCGUUAAUCGGAAUUACUGGGCGUAAAGCGUGCGCAGGCGGUUUUGUAAGUUUGUCGUGAAAUCCCCGGGCUCAACCUGGGAAUGGCGAUGAAGACUGCAAGGCUAGAAUCUGGCAGAGGGGGGUAGAAUUCCACGUGUAGCAGUGAAAUGCGUAGAGAUGUGGAGGAACACCGAUGGCGAAGGCAGCCCCCUGGGUCAAGAUUGACGCUCAUGCACGAAAGCGUGGGGAGCAAACAGGAUUAGAUACCCUGGUAGUCCACGCCCUAAACGAUGUCUACUAGUUGUCGGGUUUUAAUUAACUUGGUAACGCAGCUAACGCGUGAAGUAGACCGCCUGGGGAGUACGGUCGCAAGAUUAAAACNCAAAUGAAUUACGGCGAGACGNGCGACGACGACGACGAGGGAGAG
This 615-nucleotide ribosomal RNA is filed under the name uncultured bacterium. RNAcentral describes it as "bacterial SSU rRNA". It matches the Rfam family "Bacterial small subunit ribosomal RNA", at positions 338 to 949 of the family's 1533-position model. The record is from RNAcentral.